This 498-nucleotide ribosomal RNA is filed under the name uncultured bacterium. RNAcentral's name for it is "partial 16S ribosomal RNA". It matches the Rfam family "Bacterial small subunit ribosomal RNA", at positions 29 to 507 of the family's 1533-position model. The record is from RNAcentral.
AUGCACGCUGGCGGCGUGCCUCAUACCUGCAAGUCGAGCGAAUGGAUUAAGAGCUUGCUCUUAUGAAGUUAGCGGCGGACGGGUGAGUAACACGUGGGUAACCUGCCCAUAAGACUGGGAUAACUCCGGGAAACCGGGGCUAAUACCGGAUAACAUUUUGAACCGCAUGGUUCGAAAUUGAAAGGCGGCUUCGGCUGUCACUUAUGGAUGGACCCGCGUCGCAUUAGCUAGUUGGUGAGGUAACGGCUCACCAAGGCAACGAUGCGUAGCCGACCUGAGAGGGUGAUCGGCCACACUGGGACUGAGACACGGCCCAGACUCCUACGGGAGGCAGCAGUAGGGAAUCUUCCGCAAUGGACGAAAGUCUGACGGAGCAACGCCGCGUGAGUGAUGAAGGCUUUCGGGUCGUAAAACUCUGUUGUUAGGGAAGAACAAGUGCUAGUUGAAUAAGCUGGCACCUUGACGGUACCUAACCAGAAAGCCACGGCUAACUACGUG